CCCACAUGCCGCGCAGCAACUAAGCGCGUAAGGCACAACUACUGAGCCUGCGUUCGAGAGCCCGUAAGCCACAACUACUGAAGCCCACGCACCUAGAACCCGUGCUCUGCAACAAGAGAAGCCACUGCAAUGAGAGGCCUGCGCACUGCAACAAAGAAUAAGGCCCACUCGCUGCAACUAAAAAGCCUGCGUGCAGCAACGAAGAACCAACGCAGCCAAAAAUAAAUUUUUUUAAAAAAGAUUGUACACAAGGGCAGGAGGCUUUUUGGUUUUAUAGGCCACGCUUCUCUGGAUGCGCUCUCCUUUGAUGUUAACUACAUGUGGCAAGAGUGGGCGCCGGACCGUCAGAACUGUUCCUUGAGGGGAUGCAGGUUCGAUCCCUGGUCAGGGAGCUAAGAUCCCACAUGCCGUGCGGUGCGGCCAAAUUAAAAAAUAAAAAAGUGCUU
Molecule: non-coding RNA, 446 nt
Organism: Kogia breviceps (pygmy sperm whale)
Lineage: Eukaryota; Metazoa; Chordata; Mammalia; Artiodactyla; Physeteridae
Source: RefSeq, a predicted model, not a curated record